This 326-nucleotide ribosomal RNA is filed under the name uncultured eukaryote. RNAcentral's name for it is "partial 18S ribosomal RNA". It matches the Rfam family "Eukaryotic small subunit ribosomal RNA", at positions 1470 to 1796 of the family's 1831-position model. The record is from RNAcentral.
CCCUUAGAUGUUCUGGGCCGCACGCGCGCUACACUGAUGCAUUCAACGAGCCUAUCCUUGACCGACAGGUCCGGGUAAUCUUUGAAUCUGCAUCGUGACGGGGAUAGAUUAUUGCAAUUAUUAAUCUUCAACGAGGAAUGCCUAGUAGGCGCAAGUCAUCAGCUUGCGUCGAUUACGUCCCUGCCCUUUGUACACACCGCCCGUCGCUCCUACCGAUUGAGCAUCCCGGUGAAGACUCAGGAGAUAUGUACGUGGCUGGUCUCCAGCUGCGUUGCGUGCCGAAUUUGUCUAAACCUUGAUGCUUAGAGGAAGGAGAAGUCGUAACA